AGAUCAUCGGCGUGUGGUCCACUCUGGUGCCGCGCGAGAAGGUCGCCCCGGUCAUCACCUGGUAUGAGAGCUGACCCAUGCUGAUCAAACUUGAGCGCGUGGCGCAUGUGCGGUCCGGCGACAAGGGCAACACGUCGAAUAUCGCGGUGAUCGCCUAUCGCGACGAAUUCUACCCGCUGCUGAAAGCGCAAUUGACCGCGGCAAGUUUCAAGGCGUUCUAUCGCGGCGCGAUCAAGGGCGAUGUCACGCGCUAUGAGGCGGACAAUCUGGCGGCGCUGAAUUUCGUCGCGGAGGGUGCCCUCGGCGGCGGUGUCUCGCGCAG
Molecule: unclassified non-coding RNA, 322 nt
Filed under: Hevea brasiliensis (rubber tree)
Lineage: Eukaryota; Viridiplantae; Streptophyta; Magnoliopsida; Malpighiales; Euphorbiaceae
Source: RNAcentral